This 238-nucleotide long non-coding RNA is filed under the name Amphimedon queenslandica. RNAcentral describes it as "uncharacterized LOC109588744, transcript variant X2". The record is from RNAcentral. Lineage: Eukaryota; Metazoa; Porifera; Demospongiae; Haplosclerida; Niphatidae.
CCUCUUCCUAUUUUAGCUUACCCGCUGGCAUUUAUUUAUCGUCCACUCAUAAUACCCUAUGCAUGCUAUGCUUCAAAGAACACUCAGAGUAUUAUUUGUGCUGUUGGUGGGUUUGCUUUGCUACAGUAUGUUUUUGGCUUGUCUGCUUCUUUUCAUUUUAUGUUGGAUGUCAUUCUCGUCUAUUGUGUUUUUUUUAUUAUUUGGAAAAGGGAGAGUCUCUCUAUUACUUGGAUUAUUA